GCCUCCGUAGUUCAGCGGCAGAAUACGUGCUUCGUAAGCAUGGGGUCGUGGGUUCAAAUCCCACCGGAGGCU
RNAcentral lists this transfer RNA (72 nucleotides) under Candidatus Iainarchaeum sp. RNAcentral's name for it is "tRNA-Thr". It matches the Rfam family "tRNA". From Rfam's summary of the family: Transfer RNA (tRNA) molecules are approximately 80 nucleotides in length. Their secondary structure includes four short double-helical elements and three loops (D, anti-codon, and T loops). Lineage: Archaea; Nanobdellati; Candidatus Iainarchaeota; Candidatus Iainarchaeia; Candidatus Iainarchaeales; Candidatus Iainarchaeaceae. The record is from RNAcentral.